GAAAAGGAAAGAAACUAGAAAAAAGGAAAAGAAAGAACGAAAGAGGAAGAAAAGAAGGGUUUCGGCAGAAAGCAAGGGAUGAGAAAGGGAAGGGAGAAAGAGAGGAAGAAAGGAAAACAGAAGAGAAAUGAAGGAGGAGGGGAAGUCUGGGAAAUCAGGAAGAAAAACAGAGGAGACAACGAGAUAGAAAAUAGAAAAGUGCAGAAAUUUUUCUGCAAAAAACCCAUUACCAGGCUGGCGAACCAGCCCACUUUCUGGUCACAUUCCGACCAAACCUCCAACCCUCAGAGUGAGAUUUCAUUUUCUGCACCAUCUAUGGAUACCCAUGAGCAACUUUUGUGAAGAAAUCGCCUAGCAAAAACCCCUCCAAGACAGCCAAAUCGAAGCUCCAAGUCACGGGUUCGCUCUUGCUGCACCCACUGUGACGAAAUUUGCUUGACUUCAUCUCACGAACCAGUCAGUAUUUCUGGGGAGAUUUCAUGUUUGUUUGAUCCCACAAACAUUCUUAGGUAACCUUUGCUCCUCCUUUUGUUCGUUUUUCAGUUUUCAUGAAGAUUCAAGCUAGUUUUAUGCGAGUUCUGAGUUUGUUUUGCUGUUGUCAACAACCAUGGUCAUCUUUCUGGUUGCGUUGAUUUGGUGAUACUCGAUCAUUUUUUUCCCUUCGGUCAUUCGAUGCAGUCUUGGUGAUCCUUUGAUGGGAUUAAAUAGGGAAUAAAAAUCAUGAGAAUGACCCUGUAACUAGGAGUCAAAAUCUCCAUUUCCUUUCUCAUUAUUCUACCGUUCCUUUUAACUUGAACCUGAGUUGCAUAAUCUUGUGUUGGGUUUGGAGUUUUUGUGGCUAGUUGCUGUGAUAUUGAGUCUAGCCUUCG
This 869-nucleotide long non-coding RNA is filed under the name Coffea arabica (coffee). Its description in RNAcentral is "long non-coding RNA (CARA_LNC001886)". The record is from RNAcentral. Lineage: Eukaryota; Viridiplantae; Streptophyta; Magnoliopsida; Gentianales; Rubiaceae.